GCGCGCGGAGGGAGGGCCGGCCGCGGAGAGGGGCCAAAACUCUUCGGAAUCAGCAGCCAGAGAGGCUCUGAGGGCGCCCGCGGGGCGGAGGGGAGCGGGGCAGAGGGCCGCCGGGGCGAGGGCCGAGGAGGGGUCCGAGACGCGCCAAGGGGCUGGUAGCUAGGCGACCUGAAUGUCUUCCAUACCUGAACCCGCAGCCUGAAGAAGCUGAUAGCGGACCCCGAGCGCGCGCGCGCCUUGGCGGGAGCCCUGCGCCUCCCGGGGUCUCCCUGCUCCUUACUUGGACCUCGGGCGCAAGGUCCCCUCCGCGCAGAGCUGAAGCCGCGGCGGGCGGCCCACGGGGGAUCAGACCCUCGGGCAUCCGCGUUUCCCCUCCGCCGUCCGCCGGACCCCCACCUCUUCUCCAAGCUCCACUCCCGACUUUUCUUCCCCGCCCCCGGGAAGCUCUGGAAACCCGCACCCCCGGCUCUGAGGUCAGGGCUGGCAGGAGUAAUCCACCCUUUCCAGGUGUGUGGCGCAAACACGGACGCAAAGAUCUCCCCUAGGGUCUGUAACAAUUUCCAGGCUGAAAGGUGAUAACUCCUUCUCCUUCCAUAACAUACCUUCCCCCCGCCCCCACUUCCUUUACUAUCCUAACUUUGGGAGGAAUAUUGAUUCUUGAUCAAAGUAAAUGCACUGUCUUACCUUUGGUAUCGGCA
RNAcentral lists this long non-coding RNA (698 nucleotides) under Homo sapiens (human). RNAcentral's name for it is "novel transcript". The record is from RNAcentral. Lineage: Eukaryota; Metazoa; Chordata; Mammalia; Primates; Hominidae.